Molecule: non-coding RNA, 142 nt
Filed under: Bigelowiella natans
Lineage: Eukaryota; Cercozoa; Chlorarachniophyceae
Source: RNAcentral
AAGAAGAAAAAGAAUAAGAAGGAGAAAAAGAAGAAGAAGAAAAAGAAGAAGAAGGGGUGGUAAGAGAAGAAGAAGGGAUGGCUCUUCUUCUUUUUCUUCUUCUCUCUUUGGUUCUCCUUUCUUUGGUUCUUUUGGUGUGUGC